RNAcentral lists this long non-coding RNA (503 nucleotides) under Macaca fascicularis (crab-eating macaque). Its description in RNAcentral is "lncRNA (ENSMFAG00000064813.1)". Lineage: Eukaryota; Metazoa; Chordata; Mammalia; Primates; Cercopithecidae. The record is from RNAcentral.
ACGGGAGGCAGAGGUUGCAGUGAGCAGAGAUCGCACCACUGCACUCCAGCCUGGGUGACAAAGCGAGACUCUGACUCAAAAAACAAAAAACAAAAAGAAACUUUUUUUUUUCACUUUCUAACAUUACAGAAAUUGAAGUGCAUCUUAUAAUCAAUGUCGAAAGAAACUUGUCAGCUGAUGAUAUAUCUUACAACAGGGUGAAUUGGAAUGGAGGAAAAAAAAGUAGUUGAAGACCAUCCCUGCGGCUCCCAAGGUGAAAGUUACUGGGGUGGCCUGAACUUCCCAGUGUGGCUGGAAGAUUAACCACUUCAGAGAAUACCAGAUCAACACCGUGUUUUGCAUGCCUGCACCUUCGGAGAGGAAGCUGCUAUUUCAGAAGCCAGGCAGAACAAAGGGAGUCGUCUGGUGCAAUCCUAGUAAUUAGGGAGAAGAGGCCCCUCAGAACCCUGAUGGAUACAGCAGUGUAGAAGGCACUCUCUGCCAUCCUCCCUGCUCCCUACCUG